This 87-nucleotide transfer RNA is filed under the name Arthrobacter sp. RNAcentral describes it as "tRNA-Leu". It matches the Rfam family "tRNA". Rfam says of the family: Transfer RNA (tRNA) molecules are approximately 80 nucleotides in length. Their secondary structure includes four short double-helical elements and three loops (D, anti-codon, and T loops). Further hydrogen bonds mediate the characteristic L-shaped molecular structure. tRNAs have two regions of fundamental functional importance: the anti-codon, which is responsible for specific mRNA codon recognition, and the 3' end, to which the tRNAs corresponding amino acid is attached (by aminoacyl-tRNA synthetases). tRNAs cope with the degeneracy of the genetic code in two manners: having more than one tRNA (with a specific anti-codon) for a particular amino acid; and 'wobble' base-pairing, i.e. permitting non-standard base-pairing at the 3rd anti-codon position. The record is from RNAcentral. Lineage: Bacteria; Bacillati; Actinomycetota; Actinomycetes; Micrococcales; Micrococcaceae. RNAcentral also lists the same sequence under 4 other names.
GCCGAAGUGGCGGAACGGCAGACGCGCUGCGUUCAGGGCGCAGUGCCCGUAACGGGCGUGGGGGUUCAAAUCCCCCCUUCGGCACCA